GCCUAAGGUGAGGGCGAGAGCCGUAGCCGAUGGACAACAGGUUGAUAUUCCUGUACUGCAGUAUAACAGAACCGUGGGGACACGUAAGGAGAGCGGGAGCCGGGAAUGGAAAGCCCGGUACAAGCGAGGUACCAGUAUGGUAGGAAAAACCGCCAUGCAAUGGGAAGACGUGAUGUGGAGUGAAAUAUAGUAACGAAGCCCGUGAGCCAUGCGUCAAGAAAAGCCGCUAUUGUUUAUAUUGUACCCGUACCGUAAACCGACACAGGUGGAUGAGGAGAGAAUCCUAAGGCCGGCGGAAGAAGUAUUGCCAAGGAACUCGGCAAAAUGGCCCCGUAACUUAGGGAGAAGGGGUGCCUGCGAGAGCAGGCCGCAGAGAAUAGGCUCAAGCAACUGUUUAGCAAAAACACAGGUCUAUGCGAAACCGAAAGGUGAGGUAUAUGGGCUGACGCCUGCCCGGUGCUGGAAGGUUAAGAGGAGAGGUUAGACGCAAGUCGAAGCUUUGAAUUUAAGCCCCAGUAAACGGCGGCCGUAACGAUAACGGUCCUAAGGUAGCGAAAUUCCUUGUCGGGUAAGUUCCGACCCGCACGAAAGGCGUAAUGAUUUGAGCGCUGUCUCGGCAAUACAUCCGGUGAAAUUGAAGUGCCAGUGAAGAUGCUGGCUACCCGCGCCAGGACGGAAAGACCCCAUGGAGCUUUACUCCAGUUUGGCACUGGGGUCCGGUGUUGCAUGUACAGGAUAGGUGGGAGGCUGAGAGAUAGUGACGUCAGUUGCUAUGGAGCCGCUGUUGGGAUACCACCCUUGUGAUAUUGGGCUUCUAACCAGCCGCCGUGAACCGGCGGUGGGACAAUGCCAGGCGGGGAGUUUGACUGGGGCGGUCGCCUCCGAAAGGGUAUCGGAGGCGCCCAAAGGUUCCCUCAGAAUGGACGGAAACCAUUCGAAGAGUGCAAAGGCAGAAGGGAGCUUGACUGCGACACCGACGGGUGGAGCAGGUACGAAAGUAGGGCUUAGUGAUCCGGUGGUAUUAAGUGGGAAUGCCAUCGCUCAACGGAUAAAAGCUACCCUGGGGAUAACAGGCUUAUCACUCCCAAGAGUUCACAUCGACGGAGUGGUUUGGCACCUCGAUGUCGGCUCAUCGCAUCCUGGGGCUGUAGUAGGUCCCAAGGGUUGGGCUAUUCGCCCAUUAAAGCGGUACGCGAGCUGGGUUCAGAACGUCGUGAGACAGUUCGGUCCCUAUCCGGCGUGGGCGUAGGAUAUCUGAGAGGGGCUGUCCUUAGUACGAGAGGACCGGGAUGGACGGACCGCUGGUGGACCGGUUGGCUUGCCAAAGCCAUGGCCGGGUAGCCAAGUCCGGAAGGGAUAAACGCUGAAGGCAUCUAAGCGUGAAGCCCCCCUCAAGAUGAGAUAUCCCAUUCUUUAAGAAGUAAACCCCCUUGAAGACGACGAGGUAGAUAGGGCAGAGGUGGAAGUGUGGUAACACAUGGAGCUGACUGUUACUAAUCGGGUGAGGGCUUGAUC
RNAcentral lists this ribosomal RNA (1515 nucleotides) under metagenome. RNAcentral describes it as "bacterial LSU rRNA". It matches the Rfam family "Bacterial large subunit ribosomal RNA", at positions 1389 to 2925 of the family's 2925-position model. The record is from RNAcentral.